ACUCAAAUGAAUUGACGGGGACCCGCACAACCAGUGGAGCAUGUGGUUUAAUUCGAGACGAACCGAAGAACCUUACCUAGGUUUGACAUGCUAGAUGCAAUCUUCUAGAAAUAGAGGACUCUUUCGAAGGUUCUAGCACAGGUGUUGCAUGGCUAUCGUCAGCUCGUGUCGUGAGGUGUUCCCUUCAGUGGGGUAACGAGCGCAACCCGCGUCGUAUGUUAAAUUGUUCAUACGAGACUGCUCGCCUAUGGCGAGAGGAAGGCGCGGAUGAUGUUAAGUCAGCAUGGCCUUUAUAUCUAGGGCGACACACAUGCUACAAUGAGGCCGACAAUGGGUUGCCAACCGGUAACGGGGAGCUAAUCCCAUCAAACGGCCUCUCAGUGGGGAUUGGGGGCUGCAACUCGCCCCCAUGAACGCGGAAUUGGUAGUAAUCGCAAAUCAGCUAUGUUGCGGUGAAUACGUUCUCGGGUCUUGUACACACCGCCCGU
Molecule: ribosomal RNA, 488 nt
Filed under: uncultured bacterium
Lineage: Bacteria
Description: partial 16S ribosomal RNA
Rfam family: Bacterial small subunit ribosomal RNA
Source: RNAcentral